GAUAAGCCAGUUCCCAUAUGUUCACUCAAGUUAAGCAACAUUGAGCCUGGUCAGUACCUAGAAGGGUGACUGCUUGGGAAUACCAAGUGAUGU
Non-coding RNA from Acanthosepion pharaonis, 93 nucleotides. The record is from the annotation of a GenBank genome assembly. Lineage: Eukaryota; Metazoa; Mollusca; Cephalopoda; Sepiida; Sepiidae.